CAGGACUAGGAUUUAUGAUAGCAAGAAAGAUAAAAUCAGCAGAGAAUAGGCAUGCAGAAGAGUCUAGAGGGAGCCUGAUGGAGCCACCCAGGGUUACACUGUAGAAUCACAGGAAGCACUGUUCAGUUUAGGAGUAUUACUAGAAACAUGACAAGUUCCCAGGAGAGCUCACUGGGGACUAUCAGGAUUUUAGUAGAGGGAGGGCUAUUCAUGUGACCCUUCAUACAGUUCCAUUCCUACAGGAAGGCAAGUGCUAGAGAUCACUUGUAGUCUGUAAGCAGUCUACGUGUGGUGAGCCACUCUUGCUAGUUACUAGUCCUGGAAACUCCCAGCAUCUAGACUCCUGUGAACUAGCCGUGUGUGAGGAUGCACUCCGAAGUCUGUUAAGUGAGCUUUUCCACAGAGCCUUAUUUUACAGAGGGUGGGAUCUGGAGCCUCGAUAUGGAGAAAGCAAUUUGUCUAAGUCAUAGGUAGAAUUUUGUUGGAAUGGAUGUGAGCUGGGUGUCUGACUCACAGGUGUGGGACCCUGUGUGUGUGCGUUAUUUGUCAGUGGCCAUGAAGGAAGUGAAUAAAGUGGUCAGCUUGUGUUUAGAUCCUA
This 598-nucleotide long non-coding RNA is filed under the name Rattus norvegicus (Norway rat). RNAcentral describes it as "long non-coding RNA NONRATT002037". The record is from RNAcentral. Lineage: Eukaryota; Metazoa; Chordata; Mammalia; Rodentia; Muridae.